GAUGAACGCUGGCGGCGUGCCUAAUACAUGCAAGUCGAGCGAACAGGCGAGGAGCUUGCUCCUCUGACGUUAGCGGCGGACGGGUGAGUAACACGUGGAUAACCUACCUAUAAGACUGGGAUAACUUCGGGAAACCGGAGCUAAUACCGGAUAAUAUAUUGAACCGCAUGGUUCAAUAGUGAAAGACGGUUUUGCUGUCACUUAUAGAUGGAUCCGCGCCGCAUUAGCUAGUUGGUAAGGUAACGGCUUACCAAGGCAACGAUGCGUAGCCGACCUGCGAGGGUGAUCGGCCACACUGGAACUGAGACACGGUCCAGACUCCUACGGGAGGCAGCAGUAGGGAAUCUUCCGCAAUGGGCGAAAGCCUGACGGAGCAACGCCGCGGGAGUGAUGAAGGUCUUCGGAUCGUAAAACUCUGUUAUUAGGGAAGAACAAAUGUGUAAGUAACUAUGCACGUCUUGACGGUACCUAAUCAGAAAGCCACGGCUAACUACGUG
This 497-nucleotide ribosomal RNA is filed under the name uncultured bacterium. RNAcentral describes it as "partial 16S ribosomal RNA". It matches the Rfam family "Bacterial small subunit ribosomal RNA", at positions 28 to 507 of the family's 1533-position model. The record is from RNAcentral.